RNAcentral lists this ribosomal RNA (468 nucleotides) under uncultured bacterium. Its description in RNAcentral is "partial 16S ribosomal RNA". It matches the Rfam family "Bacterial small subunit ribosomal RNA", at positions 28 to 507 of the family's 1533-position model. The record is from RNAcentral.
GACGAACGCUGGCGGCGUGCUUAACACAUGCAAGUCGAACGGUGAUGCUCCAGCUUGCUGGAGUGGAUCAGUGGCGAACGGGUGAGUAACACGUGAGCAACCUGCCCCAGACUCUGGAAUAAGCGCUGGAAACGGCGUCUAAUACUGGAUACGAAACUGGCCCGCAUGGGCAUGGUUUGGAAAGUUUUUCGGUUUGGGAUGGGCUCGCGGCCUAUCAGCUUGUUGGUGAGGUAAUGGCUCACCAAGGCGACGACGGGUAGCCGGCCUGAGAGGGCGACCGGCCACACUGGGACUGAGACACGGCCCAGACUCCUACGGGAGGCAGCAGUGGGGAAUAUUGCACAAUGGGCUAGAGCCUGAUGCAGCGACGCCGCGUGAGGGAUGACGGCCUUCGGGUUGUAAACCUCUUUCAGCAGGGAAGAAGCGAAAGUGACGGUACCUGCAGAAGAAGCACCGGCUAACUACGUG